CAGCCGCCGCGGUAAUACGGAGGGUGCGAGCGUUAAUCGGAAUUACAGGGCGUAAAGCGUACGCAGGCGGUUUGUUAAGUCAGAUGUGAAAUCCCCGAGCUUAACUCGGGAACUGCAUUUGAAACUGGCAGGCUAGAGUCUCGUAGAGGGGGGUAGAAUUCCAGGUGUAGCGGUGAAAUGCGUAGAGAUCUGGAGGAAUACCGGUGGCGAAGGCGGCCCCCUGGACAAAGACUGACGCUCAGGUGCGAAAGCGUGGGGAGCAAACAGGAUUAGAUACCCGCGUAGUCCCUGUCUCUUAUAC
This 301-nucleotide ribosomal RNA is filed under the name uncultured bacterium. RNAcentral describes it as "partial 16S ribosomal RNA". It matches the Rfam family "Bacterial small subunit ribosomal RNA", at positions 509 to 807 of the family's 1533-position model. The record is from RNAcentral.